This 450-nucleotide ribosomal RNA is filed under the name uncultured bacterium. RNAcentral describes it as "bacterial SSU rRNA". It matches the Rfam family "Bacterial small subunit ribosomal RNA", at positions 354 to 796 of the family's 1533-position model. The record is from RNAcentral.
GUCGAGGAUCUUCCGCAAUGCGCGAAAGCGUGACGGAGCGACGCCGCGUGGGUGAUGAAGGCCUUCGGGUUGUAAAGCCCUGUCACCUGGGAAGAAUGGCGGAGGGUGAAUAAUCACUUCGCUUGACGCUACCAGGAGAGGAAGCACCGGCUAAAUACGUGCCAGCAGCCGCGGUAAUACGUAUGGUGCUAACGUUGUUCGGAAUUACUGGGCAUAAAGAGCACGUAGGCUGUUGGACAAGUCCAUUGUGAAAUCCCCCGGCUUAACCGGGGAACCGCAGUGGAUACUAUCUGACUUGAGUACAGGAGGGGAGAGCGGAAUUCCAGGUGGAGCGGUGAAAUGCGUAGAUAUCUGGAGGAACGCCGGUGGCGAAAGCGACUCUCUGGUCUGUUACUGACGCUGAGGUGCGAAAGCUAGGGGAGCAAACGGGAUUAGAUACCCCAGUAGUCC